AUGAUAGCAACAUUUGAUGUUGCUGUGAGGCAAGGGAAAAGGCUAGCUGACUUCCCACAGUCCUUUCCCACCCUAUUUUCCUACGGUUCUGUGUGACUUGCAUCUCCACGCAAGCCUAGAUGUUAAAAGGAAGGAAGCCAGCUCUCUGCAAAGGAUGGGCUUGGUCCAGCAACGAGCACAUCCCUGUGAAGGUGAGAGAACAUGAGUGCUGGGGAUCCUCUGCCUCUGAGACCACCUUUGUGUGAACAAGAACUGGAGCUUUCCUGCAAACAAAGUAUCCUUCUGCGUCCCUUUGUGGCUGGGCUUUGGUUCUGCGAUACUGAAUCGUCUCCCUGCUCCCCGGCAGUUCUGCCAGCAGCAACCUGCCGGACACAGCAGCCUGACGAAGCAGGGGCGCUGGGAGGAAAGCAGGGAGCGCGCACGCUGCAGACCCGCCAGCAGCCAGCCCGCGAGGAUCCCAGCCUCCCCGCUUUCUCGUGCUGCAACAAUUUCAUACUGAUGGUUUUCAUCUGCUGUGCCUGUAUAUUUCAAAUGCACUCUAAGCAGCAAAGGGAUUACUUUGCAGGACUUUUGGUUGGUGUUGGUACAGUUGAGGCAGGCAAAGUAAAACUUUUCUGA
Molecule: long non-coding RNA, 618 nt
Filed under: Apteryx owenii (little spotted kiwi)
Lineage: Eukaryota; Metazoa; Chordata; Aves; Apterygiformes; Apterygidae
Description: lncRNA (ENSAOWG00000007405.1)
Source: RNAcentral